This 773-nucleotide ribosomal RNA is filed under the name uncultured Neocallimastigales. Its description in RNAcentral is "partial large subunit ribosomal RNA". It matches the Rfam family "Eukaryotic large subunit ribosomal RNA", at positions 18 to 635 of the family's 3401-position model. The record is from RNAcentral. Lineage: Eukaryota; Fungi; Neocallimastigomycota; Neocallimastigomycetes; Neocallimastigales.
CAGACGAUGCGUCAUGCAUAUCAAUAAGCGGAGGAAAAGAAACUAACAAGGAUUCCCCUAGUAACGGCGAGUGAAGCGGGAAGAGCUCAAAUUUGAAAUCUUAAAGGGUUUCCCUUUACGAAUUGUAGUUUAAAGAAGUGUUUUCUGUUGAGGUUUCGGUAAAAGUUCUUUGGAAUAGGACAUCAUAGAGGGUGAGAAUCCCGUAUUUGACCUUUACUUUCAACUUUGUGAUACACUUUCAAAGAGUCGGAUUGUUUGGGAAUGCAGUCCAAAAUGGGUGGUAAAUUUCAUCUAAAGCUAAAUAUUGGCGAGAGACCGAUAGCGAACAAGUACCGUGAGGGAAAGAUGAAAAGAACUUUGAAAAGAGAGUUAAACAGUACGUGAAAUUGUCAAAAGGGAAGCGUUUGACACCAGUGUUGUUUUUCUGAAAAUCAAUUAAAGAACUGUUUAUGCUAAGCUGUUUAGACUUUAUCAGCUAUCUGUUUAGUUUUGAGCUUUUCUUUAAUGCACUUUUCAGUUAACAAGUCAACAUCAAUUUCUUUUGCUGUAAAAAAGCUUGAGGAAGGUGGCUUGAGAUUCGUCUUAAGUGUUUAUAGCCUCUUGCCUAUGCAGUCGGAGAGAUUGAGGUCUGCAGCGUAGAUCCUUCGGGGCUAAAUGCAUUUGUGCUAAGUUAUAGCAUUUUAUAGACAACUUGUUGACUAUGAUUUGUCUUGUAGCUUACUCGCUUAUGUUAUUUUACCUACGCUUAGGAUGUUGAAGAUGUAGCACAUCAU